Long non-coding RNA from Gadus macrocephalus (Pacific cod), 2437 nucleotides. RefSeq lists it as uncharacterized. The transcript has 13 exons. The record is from RefSeq and is a predicted model, not a curated record. Lineage: Eukaryota; Metazoa; Chordata; Actinopteri; Gadiformes; Gadidae.
GGUAUUACCCAAUUUCUUCAGUAACCAUCUACAAUAUUUGACAAAUUUAUUGAGGGCAUACAUUAUAAAUCAUAACAAUGGCAGUUAUCAGAAAAACAUCGCGUAAAACGUCUUCGAUAAUUGCUCUCUACAAACGACCCUUACUGCAUUCUUGCGCGCUAAUUUUCGAGUCUCGCGUACACGAUGCAGAGAUCUCUGAAGACUGCAACAUUUAAAUUUGAGGCAAUUUGACGUUUCCAUACUACGGCUCCUUAGAUCUACAACCAGCAGCUGACUAUGGCUAAGUAUAAUUUUAAUUAUAUUACUAUUGAUACUGCUAUUCUUAAAAUUUGGGCUGUGACAUUCAGUUAAACCCAACUAAAUGGCAAGGAGUUACUUCUUGCAUUAUAGGCUACUUUUGAAGACUAGUAAUGGUACCUAAUCUGAAGGUAAUGAACAGCUAAAAUAAUGGAUCCAUGUCUCACAUGUUGAAGUAAUAUAGACCAAAGAGCUGUACAGAGUUGAACUCGUAACUGUAUUUUGUGUCACAAGGUGUCCGUCUCCUCGCCUCCCUGCUGUCACCACCGGUCUGAAGUCCAUAACCGUGAGUGGGGCCAGCUCCAGCCCUUGCUGUCCUGAACCUGAACAAGAUGUCCAUCGAACCGCACAGCAUGGUCGGAGGCAGGAGACGUGGAGGAGGAAGAGCUGCACCAGGCUCGCCAGUGGAAGUGGCAUUCGAUAAUGUUCCCCUGGACCAGGGUGGACCAGACCCCCUGGACCAGGAAUGGGGCACCAGGAUGGACCAGAGGCCGUGGACCAGACCCCCUGGACCAGGAAUGGGGAACCAGGGUGGACCGGAGCCUGUGGACCAGACCCCCUGGACCAGGAAUGGGGCACCAGGGUGGACCAGAGGCUGAGGACCAGACCCCCUGGACCAGGAAUGGGGCACCAGGGUGGACCGGAGCCUGUGGACCAGACCCCCUGGACCAGGAAUGGGGCCCCAGGGUGGACUAGACCCCCUGGACCAGGAAUGGGGCACCAGGAUGGACUGGCGGGUAACCAGUUCCCCUGGACCAGGAAUGGGGCACCAGGGUGGACUGGGGCCUGUGGACCAGACCCCCUGGACCAGGAAUGGGGCACCAGGCUGGACUGGAGGGUAACCUGACCCCCUGGACCAGGAAUGGGGCCCCAGGGUGGACCGGAGGAUGUUGGAGAGCUGACAGCGGAGCCAUGGUGGAGGGAAGCUGAUGGAGCUGUGGUGGAGGGGCUGCCUGACGAAGCCUGACUCUAAAGAAGCUGGUGACCAACCAGGAACGAGACGAGGACUACGAUGGGACUGCUUAAGUCUUCUGAAGGAGUCCUUGGCUGAGGAGGGCUGAUGGGGGAACCGUGCAUCUGGAGGAAGACCAUCGAUCUGCCGGCCAAUAAGGAGUACUGGGAAGUUUGCAUAACUAUCGUUUGCAGUAAAUCGGACAUUACAGCAAACCAUAUUUUCCCACACAAUUUAAACCACUGCUGUGUGACCAGACUAACUACCAAUGUUUGAUACCAGACAUGGAGGGGAACCCACCGGUGGGUUGCAGACCAUGGCUCUGUGGUGGAGGGGAGCUCACGGAGUUGUGCUGAUGACCACCUCCUGGGACCAGAAUACCUUUGCCGAGGAGAGCUGAUGGAGGAGCGAGGCACCAGGAGGAAGACCGUGACUCCGUCUACCAGCCAGUGGAAACUAGGACUCCGGGAUGGAGGGGAGUGAUGGAGGGAGCCGUGCUAGGGAUCUGCUGGGGGAGGAUGUCCCUCGUGGCGUAAUGGCACCCGUCUCUGAGAUGACUCAGACGACCCACCAGGAUCUGCUCGGAGGACUACGAUGUGACUGCUGAAGUCUCUGGAAGAAUAAAGCUGCACCCACCCAUGGCUCAACUAAUGGUGUUAACCAGACCAGGAACCUUGGCCGAGACCUGAAGGAGGAGCCGCGCAUCUGGAGGAACACCACGAGGCUACCUGCCAAGGAUUACUGGUGCGGUUGAAAUGCUGUGCUCGGUCCGGGGGAAGACGCAACUGAGCCGUAUCUCACCUGCAUCUGAACCUCUGGAGCUCUUCAGAGUGACCAACCCGCGGCGCCGCAUCACAGCUCCUCGUCGCUGGCCUGUGGAUUCAUCUUCUAACCCACUUGCAGAACGUGACUUUGUCACCAUCUGCUGCACGUCAGGAGGCUCCCAACGUGUUCCAUCGAUGGUUUCCUUCCUCCCCACAGUGGGAGUGUUCCUUGUUUUUUCAAGUCGUUGGGGUUCAGAGUUAGGGACAGAGUUAGGGAAAGAUGGUUAAUUCAUGGUUUCACUGGUUUCACGACGAACUGCUCGAAUUGGGACACACCAGUCCACCCCAAAAUGUUUCAAUGUGCACACGCUUGUUCAAAUGUAUACAAAGGUGUAUUAUAAUAUAAAAUACUAUUCAAAUCCUA